This 291-nucleotide ribosomal RNA is filed under the name Triticum aestivum (bread wheat). Its description in RNAcentral is "partial small subunit ribosomal RNA". The record is from RNAcentral. Lineage: Eukaryota; Viridiplantae; Streptophyta; Magnoliopsida; Poales; Poaceae.
AUGGAGCCUCUGAAGCGUUUGACUUGUGUGAGGGAAGAAAAUGGCAACCGUGGGCGCGAGUUUGUGAAAUGCUUGAGAAAGCCACAGCCGGGGCGGGUUAGAUCUGUGUUCUUGACCAAUCCUUUGGUUCUGAAGAAAUGUGGGCAUUUUGAGUGGCUCGAUGACUAUGUUGAAAGGUUGAAAUUGGAGGGAUCAACCGGAACCCAAGAGCUCAAUUUUGGGGGGCGGCUUGCCGUGGAACAAGCCCCCAAUUUGGCGGACAGAGCCGAUCCGAUGAUGCACGGUGCAUAA